CUCUCCCAACACGUCUUUGCUGUCGGCCCUUUUGUGUAAACUUUAUAUAUUUCCAUGCGCAUAUUAACAGUGUGAAUUAUACAUGAGACCAAUCAGCACACACAUACACACACUUCAUCUCAGCGGUAGGUGUGUGUGUGUGUGACUGUGUGCGUGACUGUGUGUUAAUUGUGACCCAUGGGCUCUGUGUGAAGUCUGAGUAUAAUUAUCUGUGUAAUUGUCGUGUAUUUUGUAAAGUGCUAGAUCAUUUAAUUCAGGAUUAUCUUUUCUCACCUCCAACGGCCGAGGGCAUUGCUUUGCCUUCACUUUCCCCGCCCCCGCCGCCACAUGCACACACACACACACAGACGCACACACUGCACACACACUUCCAGUCUGUCCCUUGUGACACCCGAGGGUGCUGCUUCUGCAAUAUUCAUCGAGAAGUAAAACGGUUUCGCUUCUAUCUUAACUGAUGUCUGCUUUCCCUUUCACACACACACACACACACACACACACACACACACACACACACACACACACCCUCACUUUCUCUCCUGCUCUGUUGUUCUUUUUGUUCUCUCUCUCCGACACGUCUUGAGUUAAGAAGGGUAUCAAGUCGCUCGCCCAUCUGUGAUGCCGACGGCACGGAGUUGGCUGAGACACGAGCGCACACCGGCGCUUGAAAUACACACACAAGUUACAUAAAGACACGGCGCGACGCACACACGUCCACAGAUGUGAGGAUGUUCUGCUCAUCACAUCCUCAUGUGAGCAUUUGUAUCCAGAAAGGGACGUUCUGGAUGCUCAAAGAAAGACCUCAAGUCCUCUUUUUAUGUUCAAGGUACUUGAAGAGUUUCACGUAGCUGCUCUUCAGACUUCAGGUUUUCACGUCAUUUGAAUGCUACACUUUUAGUUACAGUGAAGUAUUUUCGCAGCGUGGCAUUAGUACUUGUACUGCAGUAAAGGAUGUAAAUACGUAUCUACCAGUGGAUAAUAAACACACAUUCAUGGAUGAGCAAAAUAUGGAUGGAAAUAAGUCAUGACACAAUAAUGCACCUUAUUCAGGCAGAGCAUCGUAAAAUGCAAAACCUUAUUGUGAUAAAUGGAAGAAUAAAUACUUAUUUUAUCGGCCUCUGCUGCCGACUUAUAUAUAAUCAGUCUCUUUUAGUUCAUCGUAUCUGAAAAUCAGAUACAAUCUUAUCUCAUCAUCGGAUUUUGAAAACCUUUCAAAUAAAAAGACAGAUGAAGUCGAUGAAACUCGACAGUCUUCGGUCGUUAGAAGGAAGAACCGCGACAGGCGAGCGCUCGUUUCCCUUCCCUGAGAUUUAGUGUCAGUCAGACGGCCAAUUAAGAUCCGCACUGAUGGACGAGCACGGAAUGAAGAGUCACACCCUGCUCUCCAACUGGCCACGCAAGCUUCCCACAUUCCAACCUGCACCGCUGUCUUUUCAGGUAAGACGAUGAGGUAACUUUUAGGGUGGCGCGUGUGUGGAGACA
Molecule: long non-coding RNA, 1479 nt
Organism: Gasterosteus aculeatus aculeatus (three-spined stickleback)
Lineage: Eukaryota; Metazoa; Chordata; Actinopteri; Perciformes; Gasterosteidae
Source: Ensembl